GACGAACGCUGGCGGCGUGCCUAAUACAUGCAAGUAGAACGCAGUUGCGAACGGGUGAGUAACGCGUAGGUAAUGGCCUCAUAGCGGGGGAUAACUAUUGGAACCGAAAGCCAAUACCCCAUACCGUGAGAUGGACCUGCUUUGGAUUAGCUAGUUGGGGGGGUAAAGGCUCACCAAGGCGACGAUACAUAGCCAACCUGAGAGGGUGAACGGCCACACUUGGACUAAGACACGGGCCAGACUCCUACGGGAGGAAGCAGUAGGGAAUCUUCGGCAAUGGACGGAGGUCUGGCCGAACAACGCCGCGGGAGUUGAGAAGGUUUUCGGAACGUUAAGCUCUGUUGUUGGAGAAGCGGUAACUAACCAGAAAGGGACGGCUAACUGCGUGCCAGCAGCCGCGGUAAUAC
RNAcentral lists this ribosomal RNA (407 nucleotides) under uncultured bacterium. RNAcentral's name for it is "partial 16S ribosomal RNA". It matches the Rfam family "Bacterial small subunit ribosomal RNA", at positions 28 to 526 of the family's 1533-position model. The record is from RNAcentral.